Molecule: long non-coding RNA, 1025 nt
Organism: Gallus gallus (chicken)
Lineage: Eukaryota; Metazoa; Chordata; Aves; Galliformes; Phasianidae
Source: Ensembl
GUUUUACCAAUUUGGCUGUUGGCUGGGAGUAGGAGUCAGCGGGAGGUGUCCGUCUUGACAGGGACUGUGGCACCUCAACGAGAGAAAAAGAAGAAACCUCCCGGGAGAGAAACCUUACUGAACCACAGAGGCUUUCAGAUCUCGGAGCAUCCUCUAUUGUUUUUACAGCUCCUCUGUGACUAAACGCUAUUUUCCAAUUACUAUACUUUAUUUUUUUUCAGUUGGGCUCCUCAUCCUUUCUUUGAAGCAACGUGACCGCAUAGUAAACUGUUUUUGAGGAGUGUUUGCUGUUUGAGGGGACAUCCCAGAGGAGAAGCCACUUAAUCUGGAGCAGGUCUCACUGCCCGAUGGUGGGGACAAAGACGAGGCUGGUGGCUCCCUGGCAGACAAAGCAGUGUUGUGGGGGAUUGUUCAGUCUGAAGAAGAGGAGCUCAGAGGAGACUUUAUCACUCUCUACAACACCUGAAAGGAGGCUGCGGUGAGGUGGAGGUCGGCCUCUUCUCCCAGGUUUCUGGCUCUGUACGUUGCAGGUCAUUUAUAUUUUCUACUCAGAAGCUAAAGGCUGGAAGCUGACUCAUUGUUAAUAGAAAGUAUAAAAGCCCGCUAGGAGCAACAUGAUUCCAGGAGCUCAGACUAUCAUGGGAACAUCAAAUGCACCUGGCAUCGUGAUAAGGCCAUCAGAAAUUAGCAACACCAAAGGUGCAUCCUGGGUGUCCUUCUAACACAGAUCAUAGCUGACAUAUAUCUGUCUGUACUGACAUCACCUGGAGCCUCAGCAGCAUACUUUGGAGGUGAGAAGAUGCUCAGAAUCAAGGACAGCUCUGUGCCUUCAUCCAUAACCCGCUGCUGAUCCCAGCCAGUUGGAGGUGCUGCGAUAGAUGGGCUAAGUCAGCCCUCACCAAUAAGGGUAAAGUAAGGGUGCUACAGCAUCAGGUAAGGGUGCUAUAGAUGAAAAGUUCACUAAGCAGAAAGCAUUGCUUCAACUUGCAACACCAGUGGUACUGGACAGAUUAAUAGGAACAGCC